UAAAGGAAUCCGCAGUGACAAACUUUACCCGUUCCGUCUCUCUCUCACUCGCGAUGUCGUCGCCUCUCCUUCUCCGCUAAAACUAGCAUAAGGUAACGCUAAGGUUCGACGUGGAGAGGAGCUCGAACUCAAGGCGAGGCCGCCUGCUAUGAUUGACUUCUUCUGUACAAAGGUCCUCAUCGAGUAGACGCAACGGCACUAGGCUCAUCAACAAAGGACAGAUACAAAUUGUCACUACACAAGAAGUUAAUCACCCACAAAUACAACAAUCCUUCUACCUCCACGUACAGUCAACUUUAAAGAUCACUGUAAAUGUCAUCUUAAUGAACACUUUAAUUUGACAUUUAGUUACAUUAAGUUGACGUUAUGAUGCCAUAAAUGUGGCAUUUUUACAAUGACCUUGAGUUGACAUCAUAAAUACCACAUUAACAUGACAUUUAGAUGACGUUAGUAUGACAUUUUUAGACAUAAAUGUAACUUCAAGAUGACAUUUUAUGUGAAACUAAUAUCAUCUUAAUGUGACUUUUGAGACAUAAAACGUGACUUCAAGAUAGCAUUUUAUGUUAACAUAAAUCUGACAUCAAGGUGACUGUAAAUGUCAUCUUAAUGAACAUUUAAUGUGACAUUGAGUUGACGUUGUGAUGACAUAAAUGUGACAUUUAGAUGACAUUUUAGAGUGACCUUGUACAUCAUAAAUGUCACAUUAAGAUGAUAUUUAAUGUUACAUUUAGAUGACGUUAAUGUGACAUUUCGAGUGACAGUAAACGUGACAAUAAGAUGACAUAAAAAUGUUCUUUAUCG
This 801-nucleotide ribosomal RNA is filed under the name Triticum aestivum (bread wheat). RNAcentral describes it as "partial small subunit ribosomal RNA". The record is from RNAcentral. Lineage: Eukaryota; Viridiplantae; Streptophyta; Magnoliopsida; Poales; Poaceae.